AAGAAGAUAGCUGAGAGGUUAAAAGCGAUAGAUUGUAAAUCUAUUUUUAAAAAUAAAAAUUCAUGGGUUCGAAUCCCAUUCUUCUAA
RNAcentral lists this transfer RNA (87 nucleotides) under Choreocolax polysiphoniae. RNAcentral's name for it is "tRNA-Tyr". It matches the Rfam family "tRNA". Rfam says of the family: Transfer RNA (tRNA) molecules are approximately 80 nucleotides in length. Their secondary structure includes four short double-helical elements and three loops (D, anti-codon, and T loops). The record is from RNAcentral. Lineage: Eukaryota; Rhodophyta; Florideophyceae; Gigartinales; Choreocolacaceae.